This 956-nucleotide long non-coding RNA is filed under the name Piliocolobus tephrosceles (Ugandan red Colobus). RNAcentral describes it as "lncRNA (ENSPTEG00000038955.1)". The stretch from base 420 to 511 matches the Rfam family "Small nucleolar RNA SNORD116". The record is from RNAcentral. Lineage: Eukaryota; Metazoa; Chordata; Mammalia; Primates; Cercopithecidae.
AGGUAUUGGGACUACUGCUGCCUUCCCAUCCUCAAGGGCCAGUGGGAACUCUAAUAUUGAUUGGGUGAGAUACAAUUCCACGAAAUUUUACCACUGAACCAGUGAAGGGCUAAUUUUGUCAUUUGUACCAGUUAACUAAUUUGGGAGGAAACAGAACAACACACUCCUGAGGGACCAGUAGGAAUUUUCCCAUGGUAAGCAUUUUAUCCUUAAAAUACUGACAUCCUGUUAAGAGAUCAUGACACUCCAGUGACCAUGGGACCCUGGCUAUGCUAGUCUGCCAGGGGGCUGACCAUUGACAGUGAUGCUGGUCUCUAUGAUUAAAUAGUGUGGGUCAGCAUGUCCCAGGGUGACAGAAAGCUGUGUGAUCAGUGUCUGUCACAUAUCUCAGACUCAAGAUUCCUUUUUAAAAUGUGCCUGGAUCGAUGAUGACUUAAAGAUUGAUCUAAUUUAAAUCUGAACAAAAUGAGUGACCAAAACACUUCUGUACCACUUCUGUGAGCUGAGGUCCAGCACAGAGACCACUCCAGUCAAACGUGUUGCCUGGAGUUGCAACUAGUUGGUCAGUUAGAAGCAACCACAGGGACUGGGGUAUUUGAAAACCACUUGAGGGCAUUUAUUGGAGGAAAUGAAUUUUACAUUUGUGUAUAAAAAUUCAAUUGUAGGGUAACAUGGAAACUCUUGAGAGUUUGGUUGGCGGCAUCUAUAUACCAUAGAAACAGAGCCUGGGAAAGCAGAACAGUGAGACCCAAGAGAAAUGUUCCUGCCUAUACUUGAUUGGUUGUCACAGAAUUCCGUGGACUUUAACCAGUGAUGCGCUGAUUUUGUCAUUUGUACCAGCUAACUCAUCUGGGAGGCAACAAAACAAUAUUCUCCUGAGGUUAAUGUGGACGAAGAACUAGAUUUCAUGUAAAAAGAGUUUAUUCCUUCUAUUUGAGGUGUGACAUGAAGGAAAG